RNAcentral lists this ribosomal RNA (340 nucleotides) under Lysinibacillus fusiformis. RNAcentral's name for it is "bacterial SSU rRNA". It matches the Rfam family "Bacterial small subunit ribosomal RNA", at positions 392 to 724 of the family's 1533-position model. Lineage: Bacteria; Bacillati; Bacillota; Bacilli; Caryophanales; Bacillaceae. The record is from RNAcentral.
CAACGCCGCGUGAGUGAAGAAGGAUUUCGGUUCGUAAAACUCUGUUGUAAGGGAAGAACAAGUACAGUAGUAACUGGCUGUACCUUGACGGUACCUUAUUAGAAAGCCACGGCUAACUACGUGCCAGCAGCCGCGGUAAUACGUAGGUGGCAAGCGUUGUCCGGAAUUAUUGGGCGUAAAGCGCGCGCAGGUGGUUUCUUAAGUCUGAUGUGAAAGCCCACGGCUCAACCGUGGAGGGUCAUUGGAAACUGGGAGACUUGAGUGCAGAAGAGGAUAGUGGAAUUCCAAGUGUAGCGGUGAAAUGCGUAGAGAUUUGGAGGAACACCAGUGGCGAAGGCGA